Molecule: non-coding RNA, 77 nt
Filed under: uncultured Prevotella sp.
Lineage: Bacteria; Pseudomonadati; Bacteroidota; Bacteroidia; Bacteroidales; Prevotellaceae
Description: TPP riboswitch (THI element)
Rfam family: TPP riboswitch aptamer (THI element)
About the family: Vitamin B(1) in its active form thiamin pyrophosphate (TPP) is an essential coenzyme that is synthesised by coupling of pyrimidine and thiazole moieties in bacteria. The previously detected thiamin-regulatory element, thi box was extended, resulting in a new, highly conserved RNA secondary structure, the THI element, which is widely distributed in eubacteria and also occurs in some archaea.
Source: RNAcentral
GUCAAGGGGUGCUCACGGUUGUGGGCUGAGAUGAUACCCUCGAACCUGAUACGGAUAAUGCCGGCGUAGGGAUGACA